GAGCCUGAGCCAGCAUGGCGGCGCCCAUGUAACCCGGUUUGUGCCGCGAAAGGGACGACGACGGCCGUGGCGCUGGCCCCGCGCGGUCACAAGUCACCAUGCUGAGGACAGUGUGGAGGGCGCUGAGGUCGCUUCGGACCCAGGCAGUAGCCCAGGCCCCAGUCCUUGGGCUGCCAGGCGGAGCGUGUGCCAGGCCUCCCUCCCUCCAGUGGGGCCUUCCCUCUCCUCGCGGUGUCAUCCUCCCAGCCGUUCGUGGAUAUGCCACCCAGAAACCAGUCCAGCCCAGCCAAGAAGAUGACCCGCCCCCUGCCACGCUGCUCAAAGACUACCAGAACAUUCCUGGAAUUGAGAAGUUUGACGAUGUCGUGAGAAGACUCUUGUCUUUAGAAAUGGCAAACCAGAAGGAGAAGCUAAAAAUCAAGCAACAGCAGCUGAUGAACAAGAUUAUGGCAAACCCUGAAGACACCAGCUCCCUGGAGGCUCGAAUUGUUGCCUUGACUGUCAAGAUCCACAGUUACAAAGAACACAUGCAGAAACAUCAAAAGGACAAAGCCCACAAGCGCUAUCUGCUGAUGAGCAUCGAUCAGAGGAAAAGGAUGCUCGAAAAGCUCCGGAAGACCAACUACAGUGUCUUCGAGAAGAUAUGCAAGGAGCUGGGGAUUGAGUACAUCUCUACCCCUCUGUGCCACCGGAAAGGCCACCGACGCUGGGCAGCCAAGAAGGCCCUGUGCAUUCGGGUCUUCCAGGAGGUACAAAAGCACAAGAAGCAAAAAAGGGCCUUAAAAGCUAAAGCAGCAGCGGCCCAGAACAGGGCCAGAAGAACCCAGAGAGCCCUUCCAAAACUGGACCAGAGGCAGUCAAAGAAAACCAAUAAAUUUUAUUUUGAGUUCUGUCAAA
RNA transcript from Odobenus rosmarus divergens (Pacific walrus), 897 nucleotides. It is a transcript of the gene named 28S ribosomal protein S15, mitochondrial-like, with no coding region annotated. Lineage: Eukaryota; Metazoa; Chordata; Mammalia; Carnivora; Odobenidae. The transcript has a single exon. The record is from RefSeq and is a predicted model, not a curated record.